RNAcentral lists this non-coding RNA (18 nucleotides) under Rattus norvegicus (Norway rat). The record is from RNAcentral. Lineage: Eukaryota; Metazoa; Chordata; Mammalia; Rodentia; Muridae.
UCAUCCUUGAUAACAUGU